UAGGGAAUCUUCCACAAUGGACGCAAGUCUGAUGGAGCAACGCCGCGUGAGUGAAGAAGGUUUUCGGAUCGUAAAGCUCUGUUGUUGGUGAAGAAGGAUCGAGGCAGUAACUGGUCUUUAUUUGACGGUAAUCAACCAGAAAGUCACGGCUAACUACGUGCCAGCAGCCGCGGUAAUACGUAGGUGGCAAGCGUUGUCCGGAUUUAUUGGUCGUAAAGCGAGCGCAGGCGGAAUGAUAAGUCUGAUGUGAAAGCCCACGGCUCAACCGUGGAACUGCAUCGGAAACUGUCAUUCUUGAGUGCAGAAGAGGAGAGUGGAAUUCCAUGUGUAGCGGUGGAAUGCGUAGAUAUAUGGAAGAACACCAGUGGCGAAGGCGGCUCUCUGGUCUGCAACUGACGCUGAGGCUCGAAAGCAUGGGUAGCGAACAGG
RNAcentral lists this ribosomal RNA (429 nucleotides) under bacterium. RNAcentral describes it as "partial 16S ribosomal RNA". It matches the Rfam family "Bacterial small subunit ribosomal RNA", at positions 355 to 776 of the family's 1533-position model. The record is from RNAcentral.